This 1349-nucleotide ribosomal RNA is filed under the name metagenome. Its description in RNAcentral is "bacterial LSU rRNA". It matches the Rfam family "Bacterial large subunit ribosomal RNA", at positions 1588 to 2925 of the family's 2925-position model. The record is from RNAcentral.
AAGUCGGUGAUCCUAUGCUGCCAAGAAAAUCUUCUAGCGAGGUUCGAGCCGCCCGUACCCCAAACCGACUCAGGUGGUUAGGUAGAGAAUACCAAGGCGAUCGAGUGAAUCGUGGUUAAGGAAUUCGGCAAAAUACCCCCGUAACUUCGGGAGAAGGGGGGCCCAGAGGGUGACGGGACUUGCUCCCCGAGCCUGAACGGCCGCAGAGACCAGGGAGAAGCGACUGUUUACUAAAAACACAGGUCCGUGCCAAGUCGCAAGACGAUGUAUACGGACUGACGCCUGCCCGGUGCUGGAACGUUAAGGGGACCGGUUAGCCUCACGGCGAAGCUGAGAACUUAAGCGCCAGUAAACGGCGGUGGUAACUAUAACCAUCCUAAGGUAGCGAAAUUCCUUGUCGGGUAAGUUCCGACCUGCACGAAUGGCGUAACGAUUUCUCCACUGUCUCAACCACGAACUCGGCGAAAUUGCACUACGAGUAAAGAUGCUCGUUACGCGCAGAAGGACGGAAAGACCCCGGGACCUUUACUACAGCUUGGUAUUGGUGUUCGGUACGGCUUGUGUAGGAUAGGUGGGAGACUGUGAAGCUGACACGCCAGUGUCGGUGGAGUCAACGUUGAAAUACCACUCUGGUCGUUCUGGAUAUCUAACCUAGGUCCGUGAUCCGGAUCAGGGACAGUGCCUGGUGGGUAGUUUAACUGGGGCGGUUGCCUCCUAAAAGGUAACGGAGGCGCCCAAAGGUUCCCUCAGCCUGGUUGGCAAUCAGGUUUUGAGUGUAAGUGCACAAGGGAGCUUGACUGUGAGACUGACAAGUCGAACAGGGACGAAAGUCGGGACUAGUGAUCCGGCGGUGGCUUGUGGAAGCGCCGUCGCUCAACGGAUAAAAGGUACCCCGGGGAUAACAGGCUGAUCUUGCCCAAGAGUCCAUAUCGACGGCAUGGUUUGGCACCUCGAUGACGGCUCGUCGCAUCCUGGGGCUGGAGUAGGUCCCAAGGGUUGGGCUGUUCGCCCAUUAAAGCGGUACGCGAGCUGGGUUUAGAACGUCGUGAGACAGUUCGGUCCCUAUCCUCUGCGCGCGCAGGAAACUUGAGAAGGGCUGUCCCUAGUACGAGAGGACCGGGAUGGACGAACCUCUGGUGUGUCAGUUGUUCUGCCAAGAGCACCGCUGAUUAGCUACGUUCGGGAGUGAUAACCGCUGAAAGCAUCUAAGCGGGAAGCAUGCUUCAAGAUGAGGUUUCCAUGGGGUUUACCCCGAGAGGCUCCCAGCUAGACUACUGGGUUGAUAGGCCGGAUGUGGAAGUGCGGUAACGCAUGGAGCUGACCGGUACUAAUAAGCCGAUAACUUGACC